This 432-nucleotide ribosomal RNA is filed under the name uncultured bacterium. RNAcentral's name for it is "bacterial SSU rRNA". It matches the Rfam family "Bacterial small subunit ribosomal RNA", at positions 48 to 477 of the family's 1533-position model. The record is from RNAcentral.
CUAACACAUGCAAGUCGAGGGGUAGAGUUAGCUUGCUAACUUGAGACCGGCGCACGGGUGCGUAACGCGUAUGCAAUCUACCUUGUACAGGGGGAUAGCCCAGAGAAAUUUGGAUUAAUACCCCAUGGUGUUUAGAAGUGGCAUCACUUUUUUACUAAAGUUCCAACGGUACAAGAUGAGCAUGCGUCCCAUUAGCUAGUUGGUAUGGUAACGGCAUACCAAGGCUAUGAUGGGUAGGGGUCCUGAGAGGGAGAUCCCCCACCCACUGGUACUGAGACACGGACCAGACUCCUACNGGGAGGCAGCAGUGAGGAAUAUUGGUCAAUGGUCGCAAGACUGAACCAGCCAUGCCGCGUGCAGGAAGACGGUCCUAUGGAUUGUAAACUGCUUUUAUACAGGAAGAAACCCUCUCACGUGUGGGAGCUGACGGUA